GCUGAAGGCUCUCCGAUGCUUAAGUCAGCAAGUAUGGGAUGCGUGGUAAUUUUGACAGAGUAACAGUAAAAUUAAAAAGUAGUAACCUCAUUGUGGGGACUUGUGCCCUUUUUAUGGAGAGGUGAAAGUGGGAGUUUGCACAAAAUUUUGAUGUGGGACUUUGUGCAAGUUACUGUCAUGGAGACAUGUGUCUGCAAUUCAAGUUCUGUAGUUUAAGAGCUUUGGCAACCACCUUCAGCAAGCAGUUGCCGCGUCGGAGGGAGAUGUGUUGGUGUCAUUGAUGUAUUACCUUCAGUAGGCUGUGAGUCUGUCCAUGUUCCAGUUCCCAGUGCCGAACGUACUCAAUUGAAUAUGGUACAAACAAAUACAAUGCACACAAGCAUCAUAAAUGAAGGACAAAUAUAAGUUACUUACAAAGAGGAAGAAAACCACAACUGUUAAAGAAAAAAAUUCCUCCCAGGAGAAUAUGAAGACUACUUUAGGCUGUUUUCUGCACAACCAGCUAAAGUACAUCAAAAAAUGUAGGACAGAAAUGCAUAGCAUAACUUGAUGUGAUAAAAAAAAAAAAAAAUUGCCUUAAUAGACAAAUAUGAGGAUAUUGAUUGAAAUUCCAUGCUUUGAUUCGAGAUGAAGACAAGAACUUUAUCUUCACAUGUCCAAAAGGUAAAUGACCUACGAAGCACUUUGAUUAUUAAAAAUUUGGUUGGCAUGUUGAUGUUUUCUGCUUUCAAAAAGUUAAGGUGAGUACAUCUUUCGUCCUUUCAUACAUAGUUUAUAGGAAGUUGUUUUUCUGAAUUACAUGUUAGGAAUUGGCAGUCCCUUUACUUGAUUGGGGUAUGAAGGAAGGAGAAGGACAUGAGAGUAAGUUAUCAAUCUAAUGUAUACUUCAAUGUUUGGAUGGUUGGGUUUCUUUAUACUCGUGUCUAGGGAAAUAUGUUAUGAAGCUUGGGUGAUGCGAGGGGAUUUUAGGUGAUCAGAUUUCAGUUAAAAAGUUUGGGAAUUUCGUGGAGUUCAAUGCUCUAAUGUAUGUGCUUCUAGUGGGAGGUGAUUACACAAGGUCCAAUAAUCAAGAGUUACUGUCAAUGUUAAGAUUGCAUCCUUCAUUUUCUAUGGACCAGGAGCCCUUCCAGGAUGUUUCGAUAAGCUUGCUUCCAACAACCAUUUCAAAUCAUUGGCCAUGCCUUUUAGAUUGUGGAGGCUGCAAGGGUAAGGCACAAUUUAAUUUGAUUGAAUAUGUGAAUUAACUCUGAAGGUUUUAUGAAGAGAUUAGAGGUGCACAGAGGGAUUAUAAUCUUGUGCUUUAACAAUGUCUUUGUUUUCGAAAACACGCUUCAAGCUCUC
This 1341-nucleotide long non-coding RNA is filed under the name Prunus persica (peach). RNAcentral's name for it is "long non-coding RNA (PPER_LNC004873)". Lineage: Eukaryota; Viridiplantae; Streptophyta; Magnoliopsida; Rosales; Rosaceae. The record is from RNAcentral.